CCAGACUCCUACGGGAGGCAGCAGUGGGGAAUAUUGCACAAUGGGGGGAACCCUGAUGCAGCGACGCCGCGUGGGUGAAGGAGCACCUCGGUGCGUAAAGCCCUAUCGGCAGGGAAGAAAAGCGAACAGGUUCGCCUGGACGGUACCUGACUAAGAAGCCCCGGCUAACUACGUGCCAGCAGCCGCGGUAAUACGUAGGGGGCAAGCGUUAUCCGGAUUUACUGGGUGUAAAGGGAGCGUAGACGGCAAUGCAAGCCAGAUGUGAAAGCCCGGGGCUCAACCCCGGGACUGCAUUUGGAACUGUGUAGCUGGAGUGUCGGAGAGGCAGGCGGAAUUCCUAGUGUAGCGGUGAAAUGCGUAGAUAUUAGGAGGAACACCAGUGGCGAAGGCGGCCUGCUGGACCGCGACUGACGUUGAGGCUCGAAAGCGUGGGGAGCGAACAGGAUUAGAACCCGAGUA
Molecule: ribosomal RNA, 459 nt
Filed under: uncultured bacterium
Lineage: Bacteria
Description: bacterial SSU rRNA
Rfam family: Bacterial small subunit ribosomal RNA
Source: RNAcentral